This 464-nucleotide ribosomal RNA is filed under the name Vreelandella stevensii. Its description in RNAcentral is "partial 16S ribosomal RNA". It matches the Rfam family "Bacterial small subunit ribosomal RNA", at positions 339 to 795 of the family's 1533-position model. The record is from RNAcentral. Lineage: Bacteria; Pseudomonadati; Pseudomonadota; Gammaproteobacteria; Oceanospirillales; Halomonadaceae.
CUACGGGUGGCUGCCGUGGGGAAUAUUGGACCAUGGGCGAAAGCCUGAUCCAGCCAUGCCGCGUGUGUGAAGAAGGCCUUCGGGUUGUAAAGCACUUUCAGUGGGGAAGAAAGCCUUGGGGCUCAUACCCUCGAGGAAGGACAUCACCCACAGAAGCAGCACCGGCUAACUCCGUGCCAGCAGCCGCGGUAAUACGGAGGGUGCGAGCGUUAAUCGGAAUUACUGGGCGUAAAGCGCGCGUAGGCGGUCUGAUAAGCCGGUUGUGAAAGCCCCGGGCUCAACCUGGGAACGGCAUCCGGAACUGUCAGGCUAGAGGGCAGGAGAGGAAGGUAGAAUUCCCGGUGUAGCGGUGAAAUGCGUAGAGAUCGGGAGGAAUACCAGUGGCGAAGGCGGCCUUCUGGACUGACACUGACGCUGAGGUGCGAAAGCGUGGGUAGCAAACAGGAUUAGAUACCCCUGUAGUC